This 251-nucleotide ribosomal RNA is filed under the name uncultured bacterium. Its description in RNAcentral is "partial 16S ribosomal RNA". It matches the Rfam family "Bacterial small subunit ribosomal RNA", at positions 30 to 288 of the family's 1533-position model. The record is from RNAcentral.
UUGAACGCUGGCGGCAUGCCUUACACAUGCAAGUCGAACGGUAGAGGGGCAACCCUUGAGAGUGGCGAACGGGUGAGUAAUACAUCGGAACGUGCCCAGUCGUGGGGGAUAACGCAGCGAAAGCUGCGCUAAUACCGCAUACGAUCUAUGGAUGAAAGCGGGGGAUCGCAAGACCUCGCGCGAUUGGAGCGGCCGAUAUCAGAUUAGGUAGUUGGUGGGGUAAAAGCCCACCAAGCCGACGAUCUGUAGCU